Molecule: ribosomal RNA, 497 nt
Filed under: uncultured bacterium
Lineage: Bacteria
Description: partial 16S ribosomal RNA
Rfam family: Bacterial small subunit ribosomal RNA
Source: RNAcentral
GAUGAACGCUGGCGGCGUGCCUAAUACAUGCAAGUCGAGCGAACAGACGAGGAGCUUGCUCCUCUGACGUUAGCGGCGGACGGGGGAGUAACACGUGGAUAACCUACCUAUAAGACUGGGAUAACUUCGGGAAACCGGAGCUAAUACCGGAAAAUAUAUUGAACCGCAUGGUUCAAUAGUGAAAGACGGUUUUGCUGUCACUUAUAGAUGGAUCCGCGCCGCAUUAGCUAGUUGGUAAGGUAACGGCUUACCAAGGCAACGAUGCGUAGCCGACCUGAGAGGGUGAUCGGCCACACUGGAACUGAGACACGGUCCAGACUCCUACGGGAGGCAGCAGUAGGGAAUCUUCCGCAAUGGGCGAAAGCCUGACGGAGCAACGCCGCGUGAGUGAUGAAGGUCUUCGGAUCGUAAAACUCUGUUAUUAGGGAAGAACAAAUGUGUAAGUAACUAUGCACGUCUUGACGGUACCUAAUCAGAAAGCCACGGCUAACUACGUG